CGUCCCAUCCAGAUGACCAUGGGGGCGAAUAUAAUUAUCAUUAAAGCUGUCAUCGGAGCCACAGUGGGAGCAGGUGAGUGUCUGGCACGGGAUGAGCAGCGCUCGGGUUCACUGCCCGGUCCCAGCCCCGU
RNAcentral lists this long non-coding RNA (131 nucleotides) under Zonotrichia albicollis (white-throated sparrow). Its description in RNAcentral is "lncRNA (ENSZALG00000011838.1)". The record is from RNAcentral. Lineage: Eukaryota; Metazoa; Chordata; Aves; Passeriformes; Passerellidae.